This 253-nucleotide ribosomal RNA is filed under the name uncultured bacterium. RNAcentral describes it as "partial 16S ribosomal RNA". It matches the Rfam family "Bacterial small subunit ribosomal RNA", at positions 524 to 776 of the family's 1533-position model. The record is from RNAcentral.
UACGGAGGGUGCAAGCGUUAUCCGGAUUCACUGGGUUUAAAGGGUGCGUAGGAGGGCAGGUAAGUCAGUGGUGAAAUCCCCGAGCUUAACUUGGGAACUGCCGUUGAUACUAUCUGUCUUGAAUACCGUGGAGGUGAGCGGAAUAUGUCAUGUAGCGGUGAAACGCUUAGAUAUGACAUAGAACACCAAUUGCGAAGGCAGCUUACUACCCGAAUAUUGACACUGAGGCACGAAAGCGUGGGGAUCAAACAGG